RNAcentral lists this long non-coding RNA (900 nucleotides) under Mustela putorius furo (domestic ferret). RNAcentral's name for it is "lncRNA (ENSMPUG00000029098.1)". The record is from RNAcentral. Lineage: Eukaryota; Metazoa; Chordata; Mammalia; Carnivora; Mustelidae.
UCUGUAUGCGCGCUCACGGACAUACACGGGACAGCAGGCUCAGAGUUCCCUGUUCCCCACUGCUAAACGUUUAGAAGCUGCUGGAUCUCCAAUUUCUUUAAUGUUCCAGCCCUAGAGUAUUUUGUUCCAGAGGCCCCGCCUUGCCAAUAGAGAUGAACUGUUCAGUUUUUUUGGAUACAAAGUUAACAGGGAGAUGUUUGCACAAGAAUCCACACAGGAAAGACUACAUGUUGUAGGAUUCCAUUGUAUCAAGUUCCAGAAGACAAAACCAAUCUGUGCUUAGAUUCCGGAACAGUGAUCGCCUGGGAGACAGGUAUUAACUAAGGAAGGGGGAAGAAGAAAAACUCUGGGGUACAGGAAGGACACACACACACACACACACACACACACACACGUAUAAAUGUGUAUGUAUAUACAUAUGGUAAAUGUAGCAAGCUGCAUACUCAACAUUUAUGUAUUUUCUUGUAUGCCUCAAUAAAACAAUUUUUAGAACUCAAAAGAAAAAAAAAAGGAUAUUUGAAACUUGCCCUGAUGAGAGGCCCAUUCUGGGUCCCACUUUAUGCCUGCAGGGUGCUGGGCACAGGGGCUCGACCACAAAAGUUUCAAAGUCUCUGUCCUCCAGGUCCUAGGCUCUUGGAGACACUCACACUUCUGGCUACAACCAACCAUAGUUUGCCCUGCUCUGAAGAAGGAAGACAAAAGAUGGUUUGGCCUCAGAUUGAAGCCUGAAGGCGUGGGUAUCAAGUCAGUGUGCUUCACUUCUAAACCCGAGAAUCGCUAACCACUGAUUUCAAUAACAACCCCAAAUCGAGCAAAAUGACACACAGGCUCCAAUUCAUAUGUACACACGAUAUUCGCCUUGGGAGAAGGGAGGAGAAAUAUUUCUUUACAUGAAAAAUG